This 400-nucleotide ribosomal RNA is filed under the name uncultured Glomus. RNAcentral's name for it is "SSU rRNA". It matches the Rfam family "Eukaryotic small subunit ribosomal RNA", at positions 569 to 977 of the family's 1831-position model. Lineage: Eukaryota; Fungi; Glomeromycota; Glomeromycetes; Glomerales; Glomeraceae. The record is from RNAcentral.
AGCAGCCGCGGUAAUUCCAGCUCCAAUAGCGUAUAUUAAAGUUGUUGCAGUUAAAAAGCUCGUAGUUGAAUUUCGGGGUCAGUAGAUUGGUCAUGCCUCCGGUAUGCACUGGUCUUACUGGCUUCUCCUUCCUGAUGAACCGUAAUGCCAUUAAUUUGGUGUUGCGGGGAGACUGGACUGUUACUUUGAAAAAUUGAGUGUUUAAAGCAGGCUAACGCUUGAAUACAUUAGCAUGGAAUAAUGAAAUAGGACGUUCGAUCUUAUUUGUUGGUUUCUAAGAUUGACGUAAUGAUUAAUAGGGAUAGUUGGGGCAUUAGUAUUCAAUUGUCAGAGGUGAAAUUCUUGGAUUUAUUGAAGACUAACUACUGCGAAAGCAAUUUGCCAAGGAUGUUUCAUUAAU